UAACUCCGUGCCAGCAGCCGCGGUAAUACGGAGGGUGCGAGCGUAAUCGGAUACUGGGCGUAAAGCGUACGCAGCGCCAUUUAAGUCAGAUGUGAAAGCCCCUGGGCUCAACCUGGGAACUGCAUUUGAAACUGGAUGGCUAGAGUGCGACAGAGGGUGGUAGAAUUUCAGGUGUAGCGGUGAAAUGCGUAGAGAUCUGAAGGAAUACCAAUGGCGAAGGCAGCCACCUGGGUCGACACUGACACUCAUGUACGAAAGCGUGGGUAGCAAACAGGAUUAGAUACCCUGGUAGUCCACGCCGUAAACGAUGUCUACUAGCAGUUUGACUCUUAAGAGUUGUCUUGCGCAGCUAACGCAUUAAGUAGACCGCCUGGGGAGUACGGCCGCAAGGUUAAAACUCAAAUGAAUUGACGGGGGCCCGCACAAGCGGUGGAGCAUGUGGUUUAAUUCGAUGCAACGCGAAGAACCUUACCAUCUCUUGACAUCCAUAGAAUUUAGCAGAGACGCUUUAGUGCCUUCGGGAACUAUGAGACAGGUGCUGCAUGGCUGUCGUCAGCUCGUGUUGUGAAAUGUUGGGUUAAGUCCCGCAACGAGCGCAACCCUUAUCCUUAGUUGCCAGCACGUAAUGGUGGGAACUCUAAGGAGACUACCGGUGACAAACCGGAGGAAGGUGGGGACGACGUCAAGUCAUCAUGGCCCUUACGAGAUGGGCUACACACGUGCUACAAUGGCAAGUACAAAGGGUUGCAAACUCGCGAGAGUAAGCGGAUCCCAUAAAGCUUGUCGUAGUCCGGAUUGGAGUCUGCAACUUGACUCCAUGAAGUCGGAAUCGCUAGUAAUCGUGGAUCAGAAUGCCACGGUGAAUACGUUCCCGGGCCUUGUACACACCGCCCGUCACACCAUGGGAGUGGGCUGCAAAAGAAGUAGGUAGCUUAACCUUCGGGAGGGCGCUUACCAC
Molecule: ribosomal RNA, 958 nt
Filed under: uncultured bacterium
Lineage: Bacteria
Description: bacterial SSU rRNA
Rfam family: Bacterial small subunit ribosomal RNA
Source: RNAcentral